GUGCCAGCAGCCGCGGUAAUACGGAAGGUCCGGGCGUUAUCCGGAUUUAUUGGGUUUAAAGGGAGCGCAGGCUGGCUUUUAAGCGUGACGUGAAAUGCGGCGGCUCAACCGUCCGAAGUGCGUCGCGAACUGGAGGCCUUGAGUGAGUUCGACGCCGGCGGAAUUCGUGGUGUAGCGGUGAAAUGCUUAGAUAUCACGAGGAACCCCGAUUGCGAAGGCAGCCGGCGAGGCCUUUACUGACGCUAAAGCUCGAAGGUGCGGGUAUCGAACAGGAUUAGAUACCCUGGUAGUCCGCACGGUAAACGAUGGAUGCCCGCUGUUUGCGAUACACUGUGAGCGGCCAAGCGAAAGCGUUAAGCAUCCCACCUGGGGAGUACGCCGGCAACGGUGAAACUCAAAGGAGUUGACGGGGGCCCGCACAAGCGGAGGAACAUGUGGUUUAAUUCGAUGAUACGCGAGGAACCUUACCCGGGCUUGAACUGCAGCGGAACGAUUCAGAGAUGAUGAGGUCCUUCGGGACCGCUGUGGAGGUGCUGCAUGGUUGUCGUCAGCUCGUGCCGUGAGGUGUCGGCUUAAGUGCCAUAACGAGCGCAACCCCUCUCUUCAGUUGCCAUCGGGUUAUGCCGGGCACUCUGGAGACACUGCCACCGUAAGGUGUGAGGAAGGUGGGGAUGACGUCAAAUCAGCACGGCCCUUACGUCCGGGGCUACACACGUGUUACAAUGGGUGGUACAGAGAACCGGUCUGCCGCAAGUCAGAUCCAAUCAAGAAAGCCAUCCUCAGUUCGGACUGGGGUCUGCAACCCGACCCCACGAAGCUGGAUUCGCUAGUAAUCGCGCAUCAGCCAUGGCGCGGUGAAUACGUUCCCGGGCCUUGUACACACCGCCCGU
This 890-nucleotide ribosomal RNA is filed under the name uncultured bacterium. RNAcentral's name for it is "bacterial SSU rRNA". It matches the Rfam family "Bacterial small subunit ribosomal RNA", at positions 505 to 1397 of the family's 1533-position model. The record is from RNAcentral.